RNAcentral lists this ribosomal RNA (497 nucleotides) under uncultured bacterium. RNAcentral describes it as "partial 16S ribosomal RNA". It matches the Rfam family "Bacterial small subunit ribosomal RNA", at positions 28 to 507 of the family's 1533-position model. The record is from RNAcentral.
GAUGAACGCUGGCGGCGUGCCUAAUACAUGCAAGUCGAGCGAACGGACGAUAAGCUUGCUUCUCUGAUGUUAGCGGCGGACGGGUGAGUAACACGUGGAUAACCUACCUAUAAGACUGGGAUAACUUCGGGAAACCGGAGCUAAUACCGGAUCAUAUUUUGAACCGCAUGGUUCAAAAGUGAAAGACGGUCUUGCUGUCACUUAUAGAUGGAUCCGCGCUGCAUUAGCUAGUUGGUAAGGUAACGGCUUACCAAGGCAACGAUGCAUAGCCGACCUGAGAGGGUGAUCGGCCACACUGGAACUGAGACACGGUCCAGACUCCUACGGGAGGCAGCAGUAGGGAAUCUUCCGCAAUGGGCGAAAGCCUGACGGAGCAACGCCGCGUGAGUGAUGAAGGUCUUCGGAUCGUAAAACUCUGUUAUUAGGGAAGAACAUAUGUGUAAGUAACUGUGCACAUCUUGACGGUACCUAAUCAGAAAGCCACGGCUAACUACGUG